AUAGCGUAUAUUAAAGUUGUUGCAGUUAAAAAGCUCGUAGUUGAACUUUAGGCAAGGCGGUCUGGUCGCCCACUGGGUGUACUGGACUCGCCGCGCCUCACCUUCGGGGAACUAGUCGUGCUUCGGUGCGCUAGGGAACCGAGCCUUACUUUGAAGAAAUUAGAGUGUUUAAAGCAGGCUUACGCUUGAAUACAUCAGCAUGGAAUAACAUGAUAGGACUUUGGUUCUAUUUUGUUGGUUUGAGGACCAAAGUAAUGAUUAAUAGGGCCAGUCGGGGGCAUUAGUAUUCUAUAGUCAGAGGUGAAAUUCUUGGAUUUAUAGAAGACUAACUAAUG
Molecule: ribosomal RNA, 335 nt
Filed under: uncultured eukaryote
Lineage: Eukaryota
Description: SSU rRNA
Rfam family: Eukaryotic small subunit ribosomal RNA
Source: RNAcentral